UAGAGACCAAAGGACGGCAAAGUGCCCGUCCAGGCGUCCGCACAAGUGACCUGCAUCCAAGAGUGAGUCCCGCGGCUUUCAAAAACCGCACACGGGGCCAUAGCUCAGCUGGGAGAGCACCUGCUUUGCAAGCAGGGGGUCGUCGGUUCGAUCCCGACUGGCUCCACCAUCUGGCAGCUCGCAACAUUGGGUCUGUAGCUCAGGUGGUUAGAGCGCACCCCUGAUAAGGGUGAGGCUGGUGGUUCGAGUCCUCCCAGACCCACCACCCUCUUGGAUGUCACCGCGCACAUAUAUGAUCUUGAAGCGGCCUGGCGCUGAAGCCGGUGUCGCGUUCUUUGACAAAUGGGAUGUAGCGAGCGUUUGAGACGAAUGUCCAGACGUGUCGUAGAGGCUAAGGCGGGGCCCUAGAGGCCCUAAAUCUGAAGUGAGACGUUGUGUUCGCGACAACGUGUGGCCCCGAGGCGACUUGGGGUUAUA
RNAcentral lists this transfer RNA (477 nucleotides) under uncultured bacterium. RNAcentral's name for it is "16S-23S intergenic spacer". The stretch from base 189 to 262 matches the Rfam family "tRNA". The record is from RNAcentral.